UAAGCGUGUAGGUGUGUGUUCCAGGUAAAUCCGGUUCACUUUAACACUGAGGCGUGAUGACGAGGCACUACGGUGCUGAAGUAACAAAUGCCCUGCUUCCAGGAAAAGCCUCUAAGCAUCAGGUAACAUCAAAUCGUACCCCAAACCGACACAGGUGGUCAGGUAGAGAAUACCAAGGCGCUUGAGAGAACUCGGGUGAAGGAACUAGGCAAAAUGGUGCCGUAACUUCGGGAGAAGGCACGCUGACACGUAGGUGAAGUGAUUUACUCACGGAGCUGAAGUCAGUCGAAGAUACCAGCUGGCUGCAACUGUUUAUUAAAAACACAGCACUGUGCAAACACGAAAGUGGACGUAUACGGUGUGACGCCUGCCCGGUGCCGGAAGGUUAAUUGAUGGGGUCAGCGCAAGCGAAGCUCCUGAUCGAAGCCCCGGUAAACGGCGGCCGUAACUAUAACGGUCCUAAGGUAGCGAAAUUCCUUGUCGGGUAAGUUCCGACCUGCACGAAUGGCGUAAUGAUGGCCAGGCUGUCUCCACCCGAGACUCAGUGAAAUUGAACUCGCUGUGAAGAUGCAGUGUACCCGCGGCAAGACGGAAAGACCCCGUGAACCUUUACUAUAGCUUGACACUGAACAUUGAGCCUUGAUGUGUAGGAUAGGUGGGAGGCUUUGAAGUGUGGACGCCAGUCUGCAUGGAGCCGACCUUGAAAUACCACCCUUUAAUGUUUGAUGUUCUAACGUGGACCCGUUACCCGGGUUGCGGACAGUGUCUGGUGGGUAGUUUGACUGGGGCGGUCUCCUCCUAAAGAGUAACGGAGGAGCACGAAGGUUGGCUAAUCCUGGUCGGACAUCAGGAGGUUAGUGCAAUGGCAUAAGCCAGCUUGACUGCGAGCGUGACGGCGCGAGCAGGUGCGAAAGCAGGUCAUAGUGAUCCGGUGGUUCUGAAUGGAAGGGCCAUCGCUCAACGGAUAAAAGGUACUCCGGGGAUAACAGGCUGAUACCGCCCAAGAGUUCAUAUCGACGGCGGUGUUUGGCACCUCGAUGUCGGCUCAUCACAUCCUGGGGCUGAAGUAGGUCCCAAGGGUAUGGCUGUUCGCCAUUUAAAGUGGUACGCGAGCUGGGUUUAGAACGUCGUGAGACAGUUCGGUCCCUAUCUGCCGUGGGCGCUGGAGAACUGAGGGGGGCUGCUCCUAGUACGAGAGGACCGGAGUGGACGCAUCACUGGUGUUCGGGUUGUCAUGCCAAUGGCACUGCCCGGUAGCUAAAUGCGGAAGAGAUAAGUGCUGAAAGCAUCUAAGCACGAAACUUGCCCCGAGAUGAGUUCUCCCUGAGACUUUAGGUCUCCUGAAGGAACGUUGAAGACGACGACGUUGAUAGGCCGGGUGUGUAAGCGCAGCGAUGCGUUGAGCUAACCGGUACUAAUGAACCGUGAGGCUUAACCUUACAACGCCG
This 1448-nucleotide ribosomal RNA is filed under the name Salmonella enterica. RNAcentral describes it as "partial 23S ribosomal RNA". It matches the Rfam family "Bacterial large subunit ribosomal RNA", at positions 1513 to 2925 of the family's 2925-position model. Lineage: Bacteria; Pseudomonadati; Pseudomonadota; Gammaproteobacteria; Enterobacterales; Enterobacteriaceae. The record is from RNAcentral.